Molecule: ribosomal RNA, 819 nt
Filed under: uncultured bacterium
Lineage: Bacteria
Description: bacterial SSU rRNA
Rfam family: Bacterial small subunit ribosomal RNA
Source: RNAcentral
AGAGUUUGAUCCUGGCUCAGGAUGAACGCUGGCGGCGUGCCUAAUACAUGCAAGUCGAGCGAACAGACGAGGAGCUUGCUCCUCUGACGUUAGCGGCGGACGGGUGAGUAACACGUGGAUAACCUACCUAUAAGACUGGGAUAACUUCGGGAAACCGGAGCUAAUACCGGAUAAUAUAUUGAACCGCAUGGUUCAAUAGUGAAAGACGGUUUUGCUGUCACUUAUAGAUGGAUCCGCGCCGCAUUAGCUAGUUGGUAAGGUAACGGCUUACCAAGGCAACGAUGCGUAGCCGACCUGAGAGGGUGAUCGGCCACACUGGAACUGAGACACGGUCCAGACUCCUACGGGAGGCAGCAGUAGGGAAUCUUCCGCAAUGGGCGAAAGCUUGACGGAGCAACGCCGCGUGAGUGAUGAAGGUCUUCGGAUCGUAAAACUCUGUUAUUAGGGAAGAACAAAUGUGUAAGUAACUAUGCACGUCUUGACGGUACCUAAUCAGAAAGCCACGGCUAACUACGUGCCAGCAGCCGCGGUAAUACGUAGGUGGCAAGCGUUAUCCGGAAUUAUUGGGCGUAAAGCGCGCGUAGGCGGUUUUUUAAGUCUGAUGUGAAAGCCCACGGCUCAACCGUGGAGGGUCAUUGGAAACUGGAAAACUUGAGUGCAGAAGAGGAAAGUGGAAUUCCAUGUGUAGCGGUGAAAUGCGCAGAGAUAUGGAGGAACACCAGUGGCGAAGGCGACUUUCUGGUCUGUAACUGACGCUGAUGUGCGAAAGCGUGGGGAUCAAACAGGAUUAGAUACCCUGGUAGUCCACGCCGUAAACGA